GGGGUGGGGGGCAGAGAGUUCAUAGCCCUGAGACCAGCCAUCCCCACAGGGCCGCCACCGCUCCAGCACCAUGUCACAGUGAAAAGAGGAGCCGCCAACGGGAGAACCGAGAAGAGGAAGAAGAAAACUCCUUCCUUGGUUUCACCCAGGCUGUGAACUCUCCAGGGCUUUCCCAACAGAGAGCUGCUUUCUACUGGCAGUCAUCAGAAUGACCAGCAUUCCAAGUGUAAACGCCAAAAGAAAAACUGGGCUUGAGAAGUUUAAAACUUAAAAUAUAGAAAAAGAAAAGAACAUACGAAAAAAUAUUUUUUUUACAAAUGAAGUAUGCUUUCAUUAACUUACAUCUAAUUUCUUCCACCUCUCUGCCAUCUUACAAGCCACUGCCAUACUAGAUCUCAAAGCACCAUUCUGAUUAUUGAUGCCCUAUUGCAUGGUCCCCAGUGGCUAUAUCCAUGGCCAUUUACUGUCUCUAAUCUACCUUUAUAGCACCAAACACCAUUGUUUUCAAUAUUUAAACUUCCCUUAUUGAUGCACUCUACACCAGCGGUUCCCAGUAUAGGCUCCCUUUUAGAAUCAUUUUGGUCAGGCCGGGGUUGGGGGCGGGGCGGUGGUGGGGGAACAUCUCAGAAAAUAUGGACGCUCAAAUACCACCUCCCAGAGAUCCUGAUUUAAUUAGGCUCUCCUGGUGCGUUAGAAUCAUUUUUUAAAAGCCUCCUAGUGAUUCAAAUGUGUAAGCAGGGUAUAGAAUCAUAAUUCUACCUCGUUCCCUAUAGCUGAAAUAACAAGUUCGACUUUGUCUAAAUCCUAUCUUUCCUUUAAGCUUCAGUGUAAGUGCCGUCAACCCCCAUGAAGUCUUUUCCCAAAGAGAAACACUCCCUGGCCCUUGGGCCACAAGCAGUAUAGUUGGUAAGUUAGUUGCAGACCAAGUUGAUGUCACACUAUCAUUAUGGACCGUUUAAAGCCUCUCCUGUUUCACUUAUCCUGCUUUAAGUCCCAUUUUUGCCCCUCCAUAGGCACCUAUUCUUGAGCAUUUGAUGUGCACUAUUUUUUUUAAACAGAUAUUGUUUCUCACACAGAUAUAUUUAAUAAAUAUUAUUAUUUUAGUAUAGUGAACAGUUACGUAUCACAAGAUUAUACUUAAUUUUCGUGUAACUAUAACCACCACCCUAAUCGUUAAAUAGGAUAUUACCGGCCGCACUCAAGCCUUCUUGUUCUCCUGCAAAUCACUAUUCCCUUCUUGCCGCCAAAAGAAUCUUCUUAACCUCAGAGAUUACUUUUGCUUGUUUCAGAGCUUUUUAUAACUUGAACAGUUCAAGGUGUAUUCUAUUGUGCCUGUUUUCUUGUAUUGAACAUUAUGUUUUUGAGAUUCACCCAUGUCGUUGCCUAUAGCAAGAGUUUGUUCAUGCUCAUUGCUGAAUAGUAUCCCAUUGUAUUAAUAUACCACAAUAUUUUUCCAUUCUCCUAUUAAUGGGCAUCUGAGUUUUCAGUUGUUGGCUAUUACAAAUAAUUCUGCUAUAGCGA
This is a long non-coding RNA of Aethalodelphis obliquidens (Pacific white-sided dolphin), 1521 nucleotides long. RefSeq lists it as uncharacterized. The record is from RefSeq and is a predicted model, not a curated record. The transcript has 2 exons. Lineage: Eukaryota; Metazoa; Chordata; Mammalia; Artiodactyla; Delphinidae.